GAUAGAACAGAGUUACCACCAGUAUCCUGUUAUCACCGUCCAGAGCCGUUCCAUCACUAACACUGAGAGGAAAGACACUCUUUUUAUAAAGAGCAUGUUUGUAAACCGGAGAAGAUCUGUGGAAGUCUGAUCGAGAUGGUGAAAGGCUAAGCGCAAGAAGAAAAAGGAGCUGAAUCUGUGAGAAUCAGUGUUUAGUCUGGCAAACAGAAUUCUCACAUGGGACAAGAGAAUCUUCAGAUCUUGAAGGGCUGCUAGCAUGGGAUGAUGAAUGACUAUUCUGCAUAGCUUCAGAGGGAAGAACCAGAAUCAGCAGGCAGAAAUUACAAGGGAAAAAUUGUUCACAUUAGAAAGAAAAUGAUCUAACAAUCAGGAGCAUUCAAAAAUGGAAUGGACUGCCUGGUGUGGAAGUGCUAUCCUUUUUGGAAGAGUUUAAACUGAGGCUGGGUGACUUCCCGUCUGGUUUCCUAGAGAAUUCUUAAAUGAUUGGGAGGCUGAGGCGGAUGGAUCACGAGGUCAGGAGAUCGAGACCAUCCUGGCCAACAUAGUGAAACCCCAUUUCUACUAAAAAUACAAAAGAAUUAGCUGGGCGAGGUGGUGUGUGCCUGUAGUCCCAGCUACUCAGGAGGCUGAGGCAGGAGAAUUGCUUGAACCCAGGAGGCGGAGGUUGCAGUAAGCCGAGAUUGUGCCACUGCACUCCAGCCUGGCAACAGAGUGAGACUCCGUCUAAUAAAAAAAAAACAAAAAAACAAAAAACACAAAACAAGUAGACAACCACUCAGGCUAUUUUUUCACUGUCCAGGUGUUUUGAGGUGUUUUUUCCUUUUCCUUUUCUCAAAAUGAUUCAAGUAAAUACAAUACAGGAAAUGCUGACACUAA
Molecule: long non-coding RNA, 876 nt
Organism: Homo sapiens (human)
Lineage: Eukaryota; Metazoa; Chordata; Mammalia; Primates; Hominidae
Exons: 2
Source: RefSeq, a predicted model, not a curated record